Molecule: ribosomal RNA, 359 nt
Filed under: uncultured bacterium
Lineage: Bacteria
Description: bacterial SSU rRNA
Rfam family: Bacterial small subunit ribosomal RNA
Source: RNAcentral
UGCUAAUGCCGGAUAGGCAACUGGUAGGCAUCUACCGGUUGGGAAAGGUGCAACUGCACCGCAGAUGGAGGAGCCCGCGGCGCAUUAGCUAGUUGGUGGGGUAACGGCCUACCAAGGCGACGAUGCGUAGCCGACCUGAGAGGGUGGACGGCCACACUGGGACUGAGACACGGCCCAGACUCCUACGGGAGGCAGCAGUAGGGAAUCUUCCGCAAUGGGCGCAAGCCUGACGGAGCAACGCCGCGUGAGCGAAGAAGGCCUUCGGGUUGUAAAGCUCAGUCACUCGGGAAGAGCGGACAGGGGAGUGGAAAGCCCCUGUCGAGACGGUACCGAGAGAGGAAGCCCCGGCUAACUACGUG